AUCCAGCUGACAAUUCCCAAAUAGGACGAAAUGCACAUCCUGGAU
This is a non-coding RNA of Trichobilharzia regenti, 45 nucleotides long. The record is from Rfam. Lineage: Eukaryota; Metazoa; Platyhelminthes; Trematoda; Strigeidida; Schistosomatidae.